RNAcentral lists this ribosomal RNA (314 nucleotides) under uncultured bacterium. RNAcentral's name for it is "bacterial SSU rRNA". It matches the Rfam family "Bacterial small subunit ribosomal RNA", at positions 794 to 1104 of the family's 1533-position model. The record is from RNAcentral.
UCCACGCAGUAAACGGUGAUCACUAGGUGUUGGGGGUAUUGAUACCUUCAGUGCCGCAGCUAACGCAUUAAGUGAUCCGCCUGGGGAGUACGGUCGCAAGAUUAAAACUCAAAGGAAUAGACGGGGACCCGCACAAGUGGUGGAGCAUGUGGUUUAAUUCGAAAAUACGCGAAGAACCUUACCUAGCCUUGACAUUGAAGAAACACACUAGAGAUAGAGUGGUGCCCUUCGGGGAAUCUGAAAACAGGUGCUGCACGGCUGUCGUCAGCUCGUGUCGUGAGAUGUUGGGUUAAGUCCCGCAACGAGCGCAACCC